UUGGAAACAGGAAAAUGGAGUUGAUACACUCUUUCCUCUGUGUUUCAGAGGGCUUUGGGCAUUGGCUCUCCGGGAUCCAGCAGCCCUGUGCACUCCCCCCGCCUCCCCGCCCAGGCCUCUUGAGCAGCAAGGGUCAGCCCCCUGAGACAACCGCGCAUGGAUGCCUCUUCUCAGCAGUCCUCCUAGUUUACUUUUUGGAAUACCAGUUCCAGGGCCAGUGCUCUCAGCCUGUGUGGUUUAAAUCAUUUACAGAUGCCGUCCAGCUUUUGUCAGUGCGUGUACACCUCGUUGCUUCAGCUGCACAUCCCACCGUUGCAGGGCCACCUCCUGGGGAGAGUUCUGCGCUAAGUGGGAGGCACACAUACGUGAAGCCGGGCGUUGGAAGGAAACACGUUGGCAGAUGCUGUUCCAGAAGGAUUUCACCUUCUCUCUGUUUGUAAGAGUGAAGUCUGAAGGCUGUCAUACAAAGGGUUCAUUCCAAGAUCGGCCCUUGGUGGUCCCUGACACGCCGCGCAGCCUGGAGACGUACCUCCCCUUGGGGUGGUUUUUGAACCCCUCUGAGAAGGUUUGAAGGGCUACUCACUCUCCCUGGGGAGACGAUGGGGCCACUGUUCCUGCGAACAGGAAAGGUGGUAGCUCGUGCACUUCCCCUUUGGGUUGGGGGGUCUUUUGGGCACCUGGCCUCCUUAGCUAGAUGUUCUUGUAAAUGCCUCUUGCUGCUUCCAAGAUGUAGCUGCCAGGCGGCCCCUGCGCGGGUCCCACUGCGUGUUGGACCUGAUUGCUGUCGUCUCGAGGUACCCUGCGGAAAGCCUUCAUGUUUUGGUGGGAACGCUACAGGCUGGAGCUAAUCCUUUGGCCAGGACACUACAGCAAACAAAGAGUUGUGUCUGGAGAGAGCCCAGGGUGGGCAGCACGAGGAAGCCUAGAAACCUGGAAUGGGGAGUCCAGGAACGGGAGGGCCGUCGCUUCUGCCUGCUGGAAGCCCCUUAGCUGGGGUAAUGACGGGGAACUCCCUUCCAUCCUUCUGCGUCGUCAGAAAGCGGGUCCUCUCACCUGCUCCGGCCUCCAACCUGAGCUCGGCGGCACCUCCCCGCUCCAACCUGCUCCAUCGGGAAACUCCCCGUCCACCCUGUUAAAAGCUGAGCUGCCGUCAUUCUUUCAGAACCCCAGGCACUGCCAGCCGCCGUCUCCCUCCCGCCCGCUCUCU
This is a long non-coding RNA of Phacochoerus africanus (Common warthog), 1207 nucleotides long. RefSeq lists it as uncharacterized. The record is from RefSeq and is a predicted model, not a curated record. NCBI's taxonomy places the organism in Eukaryota, Metazoa, Chordata, Mammalia, Artiodactyla, Suidae. The transcript is spliced from 3 exons.